GGACCCGCACAAGCAGCGGAGCGUGUGGUUUAAUUCGAGGCUACGCGAAGAACCUUACCAGGGCUUGACAUAUAGCUGGUAGUGAGUCGAAAGAUAAACGACCCUUCGGGGAGGCUAUACAGGUGCUGCAUGGCUGUCGUCAGCUCGUGCCGUGAGGUGUUAGGUUAAGUCCUGUAACGAGCGCAACCCUCGUCGUUAGUUACAUGUGUCUAACGAGACUGCCGGUGAUAAGCCGGAGGAAGGUGGGGAUGACGUCAAGUCAGCAUGGCCUUUAUGUCCUGGGCUACACACACGCUACAAUGGCCAGUACAAUGGGUUGCCAAGCCGCGAGGCGGAGCCAAUCCCCCAAAGCUGGUCUCAGUUCGGAUUGUAGGCUGCAACUCGCCUGCAUGAAGUCGGAGUUGCUAGUAACCGCGCGUCAGCAACAGUGCGGUGAAUACGUUCCCGGGUCUU
Molecule: ribosomal RNA, 453 nt
Filed under: uncultured bacterium
Lineage: Bacteria
Description: bacterial SSU rRNA
Rfam family: Bacterial small subunit ribosomal RNA
Source: RNAcentral